CUACGUAGGUGGCAAGCGUUGUCCGGAUUUACUGGGCGUAAAGGGCGUGUAGCCGGGAAGGCAAGUCAGAUGUGAAAUCUGGAGGCUCAACCUCCAAACUGCAUUUGAAACUGCUUUUCUUGAGUCUCGGAGAGGUAAUCGGAAUUCCUUGUGUAGCGGUGAAAUGCGUAGAUAUAAGGAAGAACACCAGUGGCGAAGGCGGAUUACUGGACGACAACUGACGGUGAGGCGCGAAAGCGUGGGGAGCAAACAGGAUUAGAUACCCUGGUAGUCCACGCUGUAAACGAUCAAUACUAGGUGUGCGGGGACUGACCCCCUUCGUGCCGCAGUUAACACAAUAAGUAUUGCACCUGGGGAGUACGAUCGCAAGGUUGAAACUUAAAUGAAUUGACGGGG
Molecule: ribosomal RNA, 396 nt
Filed under: uncultured bacterium
Lineage: Bacteria
Description: partial 16S ribosomal RNA
Rfam family: Bacterial small subunit ribosomal RNA
Source: RNAcentral